This 5341-nucleotide long non-coding RNA is filed under the name Sus scrofa (pig). Its description in RNAcentral is "lncRNA (ENSSSCG00000061706.1)". Lineage: Eukaryota; Metazoa; Chordata; Mammalia; Artiodactyla; Suidae. The record is from RNAcentral.
AGCCGGUGCUCAUUAAAUGGGGGUGCUGAUGGGGGUGCUAGUGGCAGGGGCAGCAACCAUUGCCAACCCACCUUGAGCUGGUCUGAGCUCAUUCCCCUUACAUCAUUCCAUCUGAAGAUAAACAGUAAGAUUGAGACUCUCUGAAGAAGGAAACAAAAAUAAUUGCAACUUGUGUUUUUUGCCAUAGAAUCGUCUAAUAGCUCAGCUGGAUUUGGAGGCUGCAUCCCAUUAUUAGAAAUAUGACAGCAAAAAUUCUAUCUAACAAAAUCUUGCAAGGGUAAAUGAUGAUUCCCGCACUCACUUUAAGCCAAAGAGGAAACCCGACAUGUGGGGUUCAUUGUAAUUAAAGACGUGGCCACCUUCUCUCAUUCUUCUGGCAGAACGUGUGGGUCAGAUACUGCAUAGGCUGGCAGAGGACAACAGAUGGGACGAUUUCAAAUAUUCAAAAUUAAGAAACUCAAACCACACCAUUUGAUUCAUUUCCUGUACUUGAUGAAACUAAAUUGGAAACAACCCCCUCCAAAUUGUAUUAUAAAUAAAUUGAAUUCAUUUCUUAUCUUUUUCCACUCAGAACAAAUAUUUCAGAAGUCUUAGAAAACUUGUAUCCUUUUCCUUAUUGCUUGGGCUUAUCUGUCAUUUUGACCUUCUCUCAGUCCCACGAAUAGCCAGCUAUACUCUGAAGUCCCCUCUGUUCCAAGGUGCUGUGCAAGAAAGAGGAGCUACUGUCCCUUUAGCACCUGCCAGGGUCUCACUCUGCUACUGCUUCAUGUGUCUGACCUCUCAGCAUCUCAUUCCCUGCCCAUCAGGGACUUAUCAGCAAACCAAUGUACUCACUACCCACGGCAUACAGUUUAGAUGCCAUGAGAGGGGGAAGUGCAGAAGGAGAAGAAUUAAUUCCAACCAGGAGAAAUAAGACAGGUUCCAAAGAGGAGGCAGUAUUCAACUUGGGGCUUGAAGAAGGAACAGAAUGUUAAGAUAGGAAGUUGGGAAGGAGAAUCUGGCUAUUGUGGACACAGUAUGCUGCCAAAGUUUAAAGAUUUUUUUUUUUUUUAGAGACCAAGUAAACCCAUGUGGCUGGGUCUUACAUAUAAAAAUUAUAUGCAUUAUUAUGAGGGAGAAGAGUCAGGGUGGGGAGGACUGGUCCUCUCUUUGCAGUUCCUGCCGUGAUGACAGGUCAGGCAAAUGAUUAGCAACAGGGUUUUAACUUCUGGAGUGGACAAUUUUCCUCUUGGUGACAAAUUCAGAUUCACUAGUGCAAGAGGUUCUGAGGGUCAAGGUGGUGCAACACAGGCCUCAAGAGGCGGCGGUGGGGGAGGGCUUGAUGCCUGAUGCAAACAUCUGGACCAUUGGGGGACAGUCCACAUUGCAUUGGUUUUGGCCCCAAUUGUUCAGCCAGACCAGGGCUAGGAGGAGAGCAGAGAGCUUGCUCGCAUGCCUGUUACAUGAUGCAUUAGAGAGCUCCUGGUGAAUUAUGUGUCUAUUAGCCAAGUGGCCCUGGGGCUUUAUGACUCUCUCUUUUGGUAAAGCAAAAAUAAUAACAAUAACAGCUCACCAUCUUCUCAUCCUGCUGAAGAGAGCGAGUAUUUCACCUGUCAUUACACAAUUACAGCUGCUUCCUAGACAACGCCAUUCCAAGCCCCAGCAUACAGAGGCAGAUGGGAAAUCUGUGCUCCCAUCCUGAUCUAUCUUGCCUGGACCAGACCACAAGUAGCAACUUAGUCCCUUCUUUAUAGAGGAAGCUUGGCAACCAAGCCAGCUUAGGCGGGAAGGUGAUCAUUUGAGGGGACCAAAGACCCUGUAGUGAAGCCAAGAUGCCCAAGCAGAAAGAGUAGGGCCCUGACGUCAGACUUCCUCAUUCCACUCCACUCUGCCCUUUCAUCCAUGCCCUGCCUGGGUACGGAGGUACUGCCAGCCGGCUGGGACAGCAGAGAGCCGAUGUGGAGGUGAGUAUGCCCUUUGUGUGGCAAGUGAAUAGGGCAUCCCUCUGAGGCACUUCACCCUGCUGAGAAGCCUCAGGCUGUCUCCCCAACAAAAGCAUGUGACCGCUGAGUGCUGGUUCAUAUCAAUCAAUGGGUGUAUUACUGCAGGGCAAGAUAAGCAUUUCCAGACAAUAUUGUUCCCCAAAGGAUGAAACACAUGAGAUAGGAAGAAACCAAUCAUUCCCAGACCUUCAGGAUGACAGCCCUUGAUGACGUCAAUCCAUGGAGAGAACUGCCACAACUAAGAGUCCAUGGCAUUUCUUCCAAGGACUCUGUACCUAAUGGGUCAAUGUCCCCCACAAAUACCCUGAUCCAAACCCAGGAGGCUGAGAAUCCCGAGUUGUCAUCAGACAGAACCCUGGUUCCCAGCACUGGAGUCUCAUCUCUUAUUCCUUGGCAUUGGUUUCAUUUUUCUCUGUCUUCUUUUUCUUAUUAUAGUCUUGGUUCCUGACAUACUCUCAUGAAGUAAUGGCCUUUUUUUUUAAUUAGUCAGUGAAUUGAUUAUCAUCUCUUUAUGAUGUAGUUAACACUGAUGAACCACUUCAAAGAGCCAGAGCUUUGACAGUAGCAUAUCUGCCUGUGUGUUUCUUUGCCGUCCCAUCCCUCUUCCUCCCCCUGCUAAGUCAACUAUUUGCUUAUUAUUUUCUUGAUUUUAAAAAGCUUUGUUAUAUAAGCAAUUUUGUUUAUUUUUAUUAUAUGUGAAGUUUUUAAAAUUCUAACAACAGGAAACACAAUUCUUCUGGGUCUUAAUUUUUCACUCAACUUUUUUACACAUGCAUAUAGUGCAUAAUACUGUUCUGUCACCUAUGAGCUGACCCUGCCCUAUAGCUUGCAGUCUGCAAAUAAUGGGAUCUCAAAGACACAAAGCUCUAAUUAGAGCUCAAAGGUUUGAAGGCCUUAAAAUCUUGCCAGACCAAUACCCACAGGAGUCAGGGGACGCUGAAGGGAAGAGUAGCUGGGCAUGGCAGAAUGGGGAAAGAGCCAUUGCAGGUGCAGGAAGCAAAGGUACAGAAGGGAAAUCAUUUGCUCUGUGUAUUGAGGUGCAGCAAAGAGGUGGCUUUGGGGGAGCCAGCUAGGCCCUUUAACCUUCCAUCAAACACUGCAAUUGCUGGCUGCUUUCUGUGCAGCCUUUGGAAGGCAGAGAGGGGGAUGUAGACAUGAAUGACCAAGUUCCUCAUUGCUCAGCUGGAGAGAUGGAGGAUAACAGGGCUGGUCCAGGGCUUCGUGGAUGGUCUCCAGACUCCACGCCUGGUUCUGUCUCCCAGGUUUGUUUGUUUUUGUCUUCUUAGGGCCACACCCUCAGCAUAUGGAGGUUCCCAGGCUAGGGGUCAAACUGGAGCUGUAGCCACCAGCCUACGUCACAGCCACAGCAACACGGAAUCCAAGCCAUGUCUGUGACCUACACCACAGCUCAUGGCAACGCCAGAUCCUUAACCCACUGAGAGAGGCCAGGGAUCGAACCUGCAUCCUCAUGGAUACUAGUUGGGUUCAUAACCCACAGAGCCACACCGGAACUCCCUAUCUGAGAGUCUUUAGGGGAGUGACACACCGUCUUCUAUAUCUCCCAGGAGUCUCACGCAGUGUUUUGCACCUAGAGGUGUUUCAUGAAUGUUCGUCAGGAACAAGCCACCAGCCAGAGAACCUUGAAAGAUUCUGUUCAGCCUGCUGAGCAAUAGCAGCCAUUUGUGGGAGGAGACUUGGGGAAUUUUCCAGAGCUUUGGAGGCCUGGCACAGCUCAUGGUGAAACUACAGGAGUAAAUUGCUUGCCUCUGUGAAAUGAAUGAACUCUCCCAGGGCACCGAGUGGUUAGAGAAAGAAGUAAUUCACUAAAUGGCCCCUUCCUGCUGCAUGAGAACAAAUGUGCUUCAUGUGGGCACAGAAAUCACUUCUCGCAAGAACAUUUCCGAAGAGAAUCAUUUCAGCAGGGCUGUUGGAGUCGUGACUAGAGCCAGCUCUGUGACGUCACAGCCAGCCCUAGAGAGGCAGCACCUCUUUAUGUUUUUUAGAGAGACUGCAGGCCAGGGUGGAGAGAGACUAUGCUUGUGACAAUUAAAUACUGUCUCUUCCCACCCAGUCGCUCUCAGAACUGGAAACUGAGGCCCAGAGAAGGGAUUCCAAGUGCCUUCUGGGGUGGCUCUCAUGAGGGCCCACGCAGUCAGCUCUGAGAAGACAGAAGCCCCUUUAGACGGUGAGCUCUUGGCUCAGCUGGAGGACUAAGCUGGCUGGGGCCACCCCUGUCAGAACUCCAGUUCCUAGCAGGCAGGGUGAGACAGACUGUGAAGACUGGGGCCCACAGGCAUGGCCAGCCCACAGGGCAGGAUGGGUCAUCUAGGGAGGUCCUAGAAGAAGAUGGUGAGAAGUCUAACCUCAGGGGGUCAGGGGCAGCCCAUAGGCAGAUACCAGGCCACCUCCAGGGAGUCUAGAGGAGGGGUGAUGCAGACAGAAGCUAGCUCGGACCAGGGACUCCAGAUUCCAAAUCUCUCCCCUGGCACUUGCCCUUGAUCCUUAGACUCAUAGUCCGUCCCACUGCCUUGAAGUGCCCAUAGAUACCUCAAGCCACCAUGUCCACACAGAGCUCAUCGCCUUUCCUCCACCUCCCGUGGUUCUUCCUGGGGACCUGCUUUAAGGAGGAACACCUAGCAGUCACGCAGAUCUUGCCCACGUUCUAUUCUUUGUGCCUCUGAAAUGUCUGCCAGCUCUCCCCACCCCCCUGCCUCCCUUCCACCCUCUCCUGAGCAAAUCUGCAUCUUCUCUCACGUGGAGACUAACCAGCAGAUCCUAAAUCAUUUCGUACAAUCUCUUCUCUCCCAUCUCUUUCCAUUUGGAGUCUGUUUUGGAAUGUGCACAUCACAUCACAUAAUGUUCUGACCCCGAGCGCCCCCAGAGUAAAGCCCAAAUGCCUGAACUUGGCCAGGAGGAUGCUGCAGGAUCUGACUUGUGCUCACCUCUGGACAGCAGAAGCCCAGGUGUCAGGCAUUCUCCCUGCUCCCCCUGUGGUCUGCUGGGCUUUGAAGGCCAUGCUGCCUUAGGGAUACCCUGUGCAGUGUGAGUCCUGACUUACAUGUUGAUUGUCGAGGCCUCCACUUCAGAGAUGGCAGUCUCCAAUAGACAGCCUCACUGGGUAAAGGGCCAGGCUGCCUCCCUUGACGUUCCUUUGUUUAAAAAUCUUUGGCUGAGGAGUUCCCAUUGUGGCUCAUUGGGUUGAGGGCCUGUUGUAGUCUCCGUGAGGAUGCAGGUUAGAUCCUUGGGCUGGCUCAGUGGGUUAAGGAUCCAGCAUUGAUGUAAGCUGUGGCUCUGCUGUAGGCUGGUAGCUCUGAUUCUACCCAUGGCUAGGGAACUUCCACAUGCCCCAGGUGCAGCUG